CAACAAUUUCAAGUUUUGCCCUCUUUAAUAUUAAUCUAAAAUAACAAUUUCAAGUUUUGCCCUCUUUGAACUUGAAAUAACAAUUAUAUAGCUUUGCCUUCUUAUAGUCAAGGGAAAAAAAGUAAGAACAAAGAAGGAUUAAAACAGAGUAUGAAUAAUUUUUUUUAAACAUUCUGUUCGAUUUCCCGCAAACCCCAAAUUCAAUCUAUAUUUCCCGCAAACCCUAAAAAACUCAUUCUACUCAUUAUCUUCUCACCUAAUCUGAUCUCCAGUGAUUUUGGCAAAAAUCUUCAAUCGAACAUCAUCUCUCGAUCCCCUGUUGUUGAUUAUCUUGUUGCUGAGCAACCAAAAUAUUACACUUCAAUUUCAGCAGAAUGAUGCAUAUAGAUAAGUUUUUUCAGCUGUUCUUUUUUCUGAGUUAUGAGGCUUUGCAAUAGAGUAAACUUUUGCAACAGUAAGCUCUCAAAGUCAUCUCUUGUUUUCUUUGUCAUUUUUCUACUUCAGUUCAGUUUAAGAAGGACCGACUGACAGUGACUCAUACGCGGAAUAGAGAUUUCCACCUAAAGUUUAUAAACUGACAGCUUCUCUUUUCCCUUCUCCACUAUAAUGUGAAUUUGUUAUCAUGUAAAAGCUGUAUAUUAUGCUUGGUUUGGGAAUUACUGUGAUAUACUAGAAGUUAUCAGUUAGAACUGACCUCUAAAUGCUAUAUUUUCCCAAAGACCAAGUAUAACAAGUUAAAAGUAUAAAUGUUAAGCAAGAAAGAAUCAGUUUAUCUACGGCACAUUUAUGUUCAUGAUCCGAUGAAUAUCUUGUCUAUUUGUUGGUAUGGGAGCUCAUCAGACGUCAGUGUUAAGUGUUUUUAUUGAUUUUGAUAAUGACAUUGUUUUAUGGAACAAAUGUUAGAGUAGCAUAACUUGGUAGUUGCUUGUUCAACUUUUUCUAAAUUUGGACAUUACAUUAAGAAGGUGAGCUGACUGAUGCAGGGGAUCAUGGCGCCAAAAAAAGAAUUUAGGAAUAUGACAGAGCUUAAUCCUAACGUAAUUUCUUUACAUUUUAAUCUGUGCUCUUUCUUUAAAUAGAAAUAUUUGAUGUUUAUAUUUAUGCUAGAGUAACUAGCUAUGAUAAUAUUCAAGUGAGUUGAUUAGUUACAGAUAGUUUGACUUGGGUAAAGUUCUGAAACUUUGAUUAAAUUACUUGAGUUCCUUUUGUUUGAUAAUAUCAAGAUUUAGAACUUUGAAAUUGAUUAGGGUUUCGAAGGCCAUUCAAUGGUUUGGAAAUGCAAAACAAUAAAAUUACCUCGUGUAUACACCCAUCUCUUUCUACAAUUUGUGAAAAUAAGAUAGGGCGUCCACAACAAAAUUCUGGAAUAUGUCAGUGACUAGUAGAAGAAGUAAUGAUCAGCUGCUAGUUUAUAUGGUUCUUGAUAUGUCUGUUCCAUUGUUGUGGCUUUUGUAGCUCUCUGGAUUUAUUUUAAUUUGGUGGCUUUUCGUUUGUAUAAGCACACUCACUUCAAGUUUCAUGGGUAGUGUUUGUUUAUUGUUGGGUGUUUUUGAUCCUUGAGAUGUGUAAGAUAUGCUCAAGAUUGUGAUAAACCAUUCGAGAAUAAAUGGCCAAUGAUGCUUGUGAAUGUGGUGCUUAACUGCUUAUACUUAUUUGAUGUGUUGUCUUUCUAAUUUUCUUUGAAAAUAUUUGUUUUAUUAGAUUAUGAAGGAAGAAUAACCUAUGGCAGAACCUGAAGUUGUUGGGAGGCAAGAGCUGGAGAUUGUGAUGGGCAAUGAGCAUAUAUUAAUAUUGUUUGUGGAUAGAUCUCAAGUAAACAUUAUGUGAAUAUAAUUUUGUUAAAAAUUUUGUAAAUAAGUAUAGUAGGAGGCUACCAUAACUGUUGAGGAUUUUGUUAAAAUUUUAAUAAAUCAGUAUAGUAAUAUUUUUUCCCUUGGUAUUA
Molecule: long non-coding RNA, 1942 nt
Organism: Beta vulgaris subsp. vulgaris (sugar beet)
Lineage: Eukaryota; Viridiplantae; Streptophyta; Magnoliopsida; Caryophyllales; Amaranthaceae
Exons: 2
Source: RefSeq, a predicted model, not a curated record